AACAGCCGCGCAAGGUGCGAAUGCUGGGCUAUGCCACGUAGGAUAUUUACUAUAGUACACAUUAACAGUCGCGCAAGGUGCGAAUGCUGGGCUAUGCCACGUAGGAUAUUUACUAUAGUAGGAAUUGCUUGUUUACUCCAGAUAACACCUCCCCCUACUGUGCAACACAGUCGGUGGAAGAAAAAAACAAAGGGUGGCCCGACGCAUGGGCGAUCCCUCUUGUUCGCCUCUCUCUCGAUCCUCUCUCCACCUCUCCGCCGCCGGCAAAUUCCCGCCGCUGCCGGCGGUCUCCGGCGCCGCCCAGCACUCCCUCGAGGUCUCCUCGGUCCGGUCUAUCUCCUUCACCCACUCGAUUCGAUGCUCGCCUCCUCCUCCUGCGCUCGUGGCUAACCCUAGCCACAGCUAUCGUCGGCGUGGCUCCGACGCCUCCUGGCGCUCACCGAGGCCGUCGAACGCGAGGGCAUGUACGAUCUGUGCCCUCUUGAGAGGAGUCAACCCUCAUAUGGUUCUGCACCAAGGUCGGGGGACGCUCGGCCCGUCCUCUUCAACGCCGUGGCCCGCCAAGGUCGGCGAGGAGGUCCCCGGCAUGCUCGAGGCCACCGCCAGACGGAGCACGCCGUCGCCACCGCACGGUCUUCCUCCUUCGUAACCGAUCCUCUGCCCAUCCUCUCUUCUCCCCACGGGAUAGCCAGCAGCCCACCUUGUGCUUGAGUCAUGGAGAGGCAGGCGGCAGGUGUGGAUGAGGAGAUCCACCACAGAGGACGCGAGGUGAGAUGGGAAAAAGAUGCAAGGUUGUUGGCUUGUCCAUGAUGCUGGUGCUGAUGCGGACACCGUGGCUGUCGUUUCCUCUGCACACCGAUUGGCCAUCCCAGGUUUACUAUUGGUUCUAUUUCAUUCAUGUGUCUAGUUGCUCAGAUAUUGUGUUUAUUGGUCGUUUAGGUUAGGCUUGAUUCUGAAUUGAAACAUGGCACAUCAUCCUCUCGAUGCUAAAGAAGAUGCUUUCUUAAUUAAAAAAAUGAAGUGAACAAGUAGUGAUUUCUUAAUUUCAAUGCGAGACAUGAAUGGAUUUCACAAAUCUCCAUCAGUGGAAGGCCCUGUGUCAUUAGAUGGAUUUGGUUUGGAUACACUACUCCUUUAAUACUCAUGGUGGUAUAGAGUUUUUAGAUGGUACUUGUUCUUUGUUUAGGGAUCGCAUUUGCCUGUGGAGAUCAGACAAAGCAUAAUCUCUUAAAAAAAGUGGCUUUGAAUAUUCUCGGUUGAUGUAAUAUCCGCACACAGUUAAUUUGUUAUCACCCAUUUCUAACUUUGUAUUCAUGUCCUGACCCAAUUUUUUAGCCCUUUGAUGCUACCACUUCUGGUUCUUGAUUGCCAAGGUGGUCCUUUUGGGGUGCAAAUGACUAAAGGCUCCUGCUUCAUGACGAACACCUUGAAUCUACAUUUUUCAGUUCUGGUGGAACUUAGAACAUCACAUUGCAAGGACUGGCUUUUGAUUGAUCUAACCAUACACUACAGAGUACAGACUACAGAUUAGGUGUUUUUAUUGAUUGGUAAUGUAUCUGGUGUUGUCUUCGGUUGAUGGUAUUGCCAUUGAUAUUUCUGUCUUAGUGCAGAGAACUCGUCGAAGAUAAUCCAUGCCAUCGUGUGGCAUCGAUCUCCAUCGUCCUCGUCCUAUAGGAGCGAGCUGGGAGCAAGCUCAAACAGUUUGUCGUGGACAGAGAAGAGUGAGACUAAUAAGAGGCAUAUAUCCGAUGACUACGGUGGGAUGAAGUCGGGAAGUCACUCGCAGACGUUAGGGAGAUUGUAUGCCUGGGAGAAGAAACUGUAUGAAGAAGUCAAGGCCAUAGAUCAAAUCUGACAAGAGAAGAAAUGUGUGCAGCUGAGGAACCAAGACGCCAAAGGUGCACAGCUGCACUGUGCUGAAAAAACCAGGACAAAUGUAAGAGACCUGUACACAAGGAUCUGGGUUUCUCUACGAGCAGCAGAAUCGAGAUCUGAUAGACUACAAAAAUUACAGGACGGGGAGCUCAGUGUGAAGAACAAGACUCAGGUUAGUUUGGUGUUCUUUCAUGUGUUGAGACCUCAGCUCAGCAACGACCAGUUUUCUGCAGUAUUACUCACUGCUCUCUUCACUUUUUUUUUGAAUUGAAUGCCUGCCAGUGUUUCUCCUGCUUGCGCUGGCUAAAAAACUAAUCAACUUAGUUGCAUGUUGAACUGUAAUUUCGUGGAUUGCCUUUGGUGGUGAUGCAUUGUGUUUUGUCCUCUUAGUAUGCAAAGUUAAGUGCACCGUCACGUAAUAUAUGAGUAAUUAACCAUGGUUUAGGAAGUUUCAAGAGGUUCAGAAAGCUUAUGAGGAACUUGAUUUUUGUUCAACGUGGAUGCUCAUAUAUACAUUUUUGUCUCUUCUCUGUAUACUUUGAAGAAUGAAGAAAAAGAACGCUCUAUGAUUAGGUAACAAUUUAAUCCCUCCGAUUAUAGACGUCUAUGGCCGUUUCUUUCUAUAUGUUCAUGAGUUACAAAGAAUUAAUUUAUUGAAACUUAAGAUAAUUAGACAACAAUACAUUUUGAGUAUAUUUUGGAUAGGAUAAAGGAGGAGAUUAAUUCCAUUUCUUGUAUCAAUGGAAUGAUGUACGGAAAAGCCGUCUUUCCGGUAUUUGUGUUUUGGAAAUGCCCUCUUACAUGUUAUUUCACUUUUAGUCCAACAUGUAGCUGCUCGUGAUCGAUGCGCUUACUAUUACUGUUUUUCGUGUUCGCUUCUCUCACAAAAUAGGGGUUGCAAGUUUGAGUACCUUCUCAAAGUAUGCUACUGAAUCUAUCUAUGGUAAGUCUGCAACCUAGAAUUUGCUCCUGCCUACUACAUUUACAAUGGUUUCAUCAAGAAUAAUUAUGCCCUACGUGGUACAAUGCCCUUACACUUUCAGAUUUAGCAGUAGUUAGAGAAAUAUAAAUAUCAGGUAGAUUGACUACUUUGACACAUAGGUGAGAUUAAAAAAAUACAACUGCUGAAACUCUUUCUGCGCUAUACGAGGUGGUAUUCAGUUCCUUUGGAUUGCAUGGUAAAAACAUCUCUUGCUUCGGAAUAACAUGAUCAUUCUUCAUGAAGUGCUUCCUAGGGAUAACUCCGCUCUCCCACGCAGCCACACCAACGUCACCUUGAGGGACGAGUGGGUGGGAGGAGAAGGCGGCGCCGACGGUUUAAAUCUGUGAUCUGCCUUGACGUGGCAGGCGGCGAAUCAGUCCAGUCAAAAUGGCAAGGUCACAACGGCUCAUCUACAUGCGACAUACUCUUUCCUCCGGUGUCUACGACGACGACCACUACUUCUGCGAUGCCUGUGAGAGUGACGUGGUCUGCAUCAAGGGUUAUUACAAUGGCAUAGAUCAGCAGCUGCUCGAGCAGGCGAUGAUGAAGGCGAGCGUCGACUCGGUUGGGGGUGGCGGACGGCAGUGAGGAUGCAAGGUUGAACGUGAAAGCUGACUAAUUCAUUGCAAAGUUCUACGCAUAGAUGAAACUGCAACAGCAAUCAUCGUUGGAGCAUCUGCUAGGUACAUAGUGUUUAGAUUGUCUGUUUAUUUGUUGAGUUUGAUUCACUUUUGGAGAAGCCACUGGAUGUGUAAUUAUACCAUGUAACCAACUAUAAUGACUGCUGACUUUAAUCAACUUUUAUCUCUAUAAUGAAUUCCGCCCUA
Molecule: RNA transcript, 3684 nt
Organism: Triticum aestivum (bread wheat)
Lineage: Eukaryota; Viridiplantae; Streptophyta; Magnoliopsida; Poales; Poaceae
Gene name: protein ALTERED PHOSPHATE STARVATION RESPONSE 1
Exons: 3
Source: RefSeq, a predicted model, not a curated record